This 337-nucleotide ribosomal RNA is filed under the name uncultured cyanobacterium. RNAcentral's name for it is "bacterial SSU rRNA". It matches the Rfam family "Bacterial small subunit ribosomal RNA", at positions 356 to 707 of the family's 1533-position model. Lineage: Bacteria; Bacillati; Cyanobacteriota. The record is from RNAcentral.
GGAAAAUUUUCCGCAAUGGGCGAAAGCCUGACGGAGCAAGACCGCGUGGGGGAGGAAGGUUCUUGGAUUGUCAACCCCUUUUCUCAGGGAAGAACGCAAUGACGGUACCUGAGGAAAAAGCAUCGGCUAACUCCGUGCCAGCAGCCGCGGUAAUACGGGGGAUGCAAGCGUUAUCCGGAAUGAUUGGGCGUAAAGAGUCCGUAGGUAGUCAUCCAAGUCUGCUGUUAAAGAGCGAGGCUUAACCUCGUAAAGGCAGUGGAAACUGGAAGACUAGAGUGUAGUAGGGGCAGAGGGAAUUCCUGGUGUAGCGGUGAAAUGCGUAGAGAUCAGGAAGAAC